This 63-nucleotide transfer RNA is filed under the name Evacanthus acuminatus. RNAcentral describes it as "tRNA-Ile". Lineage: Eukaryota; Metazoa; Arthropoda; Insecta; Hemiptera; Cicadellidae. RNAcentral also lists the same sequence under 3 other names. The record is from RNAcentral.
AAUAAGGUGCCUGAAUAAAGGAUUAUUUUGAUAGAAUAAAUUAUAUACUAUGUAUUCUUAUUG